CCCUUAGAUGUUCUGGGCUGCACGCGCGCUACACUGAAGCUAUCAACACGUUUUCCCUCCCUGAGAAGGGCGGGUAACCUUUUGAAUCAGCUUCGUGGUAGGGAUCGGGGCUUGCAAUUGUUCCCCGUGAACCAGGAAUUCCUAGUAGACGCGAGUCAUAAGCUCGCAUCGAUUAAGUCCCUGUCCUUUGUACACACCGCCCGUCGCUACUACCGAUUGAACGUUUUAGUGAGGCAUUUGGACCGACGCAUCUCAGUUUAACCGCUGGUUUGUGUUGGAAAGACUUCCAAACUUGAGCGUUUAGAGGAAGUAAAAGUCGUAACA
This 324-nucleotide ribosomal RNA is filed under the name uncultured eukaryote. RNAcentral describes it as "partial 18S ribosomal RNA". It matches the Rfam family "Eukaryotic small subunit ribosomal RNA", at positions 1470 to 1796 of the family's 1831-position model. The record is from RNAcentral.